Molecule: transfer RNA, 73 nt
Filed under: Camelus bactrianus (Bactrian camel)
Lineage: Eukaryota; Metazoa; Chordata; Mammalia; Artiodactyla; Camelidae
Also listed under: 2 other names
Rfam family: tRNA
About the family: Transfer RNA (tRNA) molecules are approximately 80 nucleotides in length. Their secondary structure includes four short double-helical elements and three loops (D, anti-codon, and T loops). Further hydrogen bonds mediate the characteristic L-shaped molecular structure. tRNAs have two regions of fundamental functional importance: the anti-codon, which is responsible for specific mRNA codon recognition, and the 3' end, to which the tRNAs corresponding amino acid is attached (by aminoacyl-tRNA synthetases). tRNAs cope with the degeneracy of the genetic code in two manners: having more than one tRNA (with a specific anti-codon) for a particular amino acid; and 'wobble' base-pairing, i.e. permitting non-standard base-pairing at the 3rd anti-codon position.
Source: Rfam by way of RNAcentral
GUGGGUAUAGCUCAAGUGGCAGAGCACAUACUUAGCAUGGACGAGUUCCUGGGUUCAAUCCCCAGUACCUCCU